UACGUAGGGACCAAGCGUUGUUCGGAUUUACUGGGCGUAAAGGGCGCGUAGGCGGCAAUUCAAGUCAUCUGUGAAAUCUCCGGGCUUAACCCGGAACGGUCAGGUGAUACUGCUUUGCUAGAGUGCAGAAGGGGCAAUCGGAAUUCUUGGUGUAGCGGUGAAAUGCGUAGAUAUCAAGAGGAACACCUGAGGUGAAGACGGGUUGCUGGGCUGACACUGACGCUGAGGCGCGAAAGCGUGGGGAGCGAACAGG
RNAcentral lists this ribosomal RNA (253 nucleotides) under uncultured bacterium. Its description in RNAcentral is "partial 16S ribosomal RNA". It matches the Rfam family "Bacterial small subunit ribosomal RNA", at positions 524 to 776 of the family's 1533-position model. The record is from RNAcentral.